ACUGCUCAGUAACACGUGGAUAACCUGCCCUUGGGACCGGCAUAACCCCGGGAAACUGGGGAUAAUUCCGGAUAAACCGUAUCUGCUGGAAUGCUUUACGGUUCAAAUGGAUUCGUUCCGCCCAAGGAUGGGUCUGCGGCCUAUCAGGUAGUAGCGGGUGUAAUGUACCUGCUAGCCUACGACGGGUACGGGUUGUGAGAGCAAGAGCCCGGAGAUGGAUUCUGAGACAUGAAUCCAGGCCCUACGGGGCGCAGCAGGCGCGAAAACUUUACAAUGCGGGCAACCGUGAUAAGGGGACACCGAGUGCCAGCAACAAUUGCUGGCUGUCCACGUGCUUAAAUUGCACGUGUUAGCAAGGGCCGGGCAAGACCGGUGCCAGCCGCCGCGGUAACACCGGCGGCCCGAGUGGUGAUCGUUAUUAUUGGGUCUAAAGGGUCCGUAGCCGGUUUAGUCAGUCCUCCGGGAAAUCUGCCAGCUUAACUGGUAGGCUAUCGGGGGAUACUGCUAGACUUGGAACCGGGAGAGGUAAGAGGUACUACAGGGGUAGGAGUGAAAUCUUGUAAUCCCUGUGGGACCACCUGUGGCGAAGGCGUCUUACCAGAACGGGUUCGACGGUGAGGGACGAAAGCUGGGGGCACGAACCGGAUUAGAUACCCGGGUAGUCCCAGCUGUAAACGAUGCUCGCUAGGUGUCAGGCACGGUGCGACCGUGUUUGGUGCCGCAGGGAAGCCGUGAAGCGAGCCACCUGGGAAGUACGGCCGCAAGGCUGAAACUUAAAGGAAUUGGCGGGGGAG
RNAcentral lists this ribosomal RNA (794 nucleotides) under uncultured archaeon. RNAcentral's name for it is "bacterial SSU rRNA". It matches the Rfam family "Archaeal small subunit ribosomal RNA", at positions 85 to 876 of the family's 1478-position model. The record is from RNAcentral.